UGAAUUCAUUAUCGUAAACCCGAAACCCGGUAUUUUGCGCGAGUUAAUAUUAGACAGAUAAAUUGUAAAUAACGCAGUAAUAUAUGCAAUAUGUGUCCGGGUCGUAGUUUCAUGUCCCGAGAGGGUUCAUAAUACAUACGUACAGGGUGCCAGAACAUAGAGUUAUCUCUGUUUCUGCGGACACAUUGAAUAAGGAACACGGA
Cinara cedri is the source of this 203-nucleotide non-coding RNA. The record is from the annotation of a GenBank genome assembly. Lineage: Eukaryota; Metazoa; Arthropoda; Insecta; Hemiptera; Aphididae.